Molecule: unclassified non-coding RNA, 3000 nt
Filed under: Melitaea cinxia (Glanville fritillary)
Lineage: Eukaryota; Metazoa; Arthropoda; Insecta; Lepidoptera; Nymphalidae
Description: misc RNA ENSMCXG00005016475.1
Source: RNAcentral
UAUAGACAUUUAAAGAAGUAGUAUAUAGGCAAUGUCUUAGCGAAAAAAAAAAAAAAAAAAUAGAAGGGAUUGAGUAUCCCUUUUGAAAUUUUUAUCAUCGUUUCUAGACAGUAAUAGAAAGGUUUCUACGAAGUUACAACAAAAUGUAGUGUCCACGAGCAGAGAUAUAGACAUUUGAAGAAGUAGUUUAAAGGCAUUGUCUUAGAGAAAAAAAAAAUAGUAGGGAUUGAGUAUCCCUUUUAAAAUUUUUAUCAUCGUUUCUAGACAGUAACAGAAAGGUUUCUGCGAAGUUACAACAAAAUGUAGUGUCCACGAGCAGAGAUAUAGACAUUUGAAGAAGUAGUAUAUAGGCAAUGUCUUAGCGAAAAAAAAAAAAAAAAAAAUAGAAGGGAUUGAGUAUCCCUUUUGAAAUUUUUAUCAUCGUUUCUAGACAGUAAUAGAAAGGUUUCUACGAAGUUACAACAAAAUGUAGUGUCCACGAGCAGAGAUAUAGACAUUUGAAGAAGUAGUUUAAAGGCAUUGUCUUAGAGAAAAAAAAAAUAGUAGGGAUUGAGUAUCCCUUUUAAAAUUUUUAUCAUCGUUUCUAGACAGUAACAGAAAGGUUUCUGCGAAGUUACAACAAAAUGUAGUGUCCACGAGCAGAGAUAUAGACAUUUGAAGAAGUAGUAUAUAGGCAUUGUCUUAGAGAAAAAAAAAAUAAAAAAAAAUAGAAGGGAUUGAGUAUCCCUUUUGAAAUUUUUAUCAUCGUUUUUAGACAGUAAUAUAAAGGUUUCUACGAAGUUACAACAAAAUGUAGUGUCCACGAGCAGAGAUAUAGAUAUUUAAAGAAGUAGUAUAUAGGCAUUGUUUUAGAGAAAAAAAAAAUAAAAAAAAAAUAGAAGGGAUUGAGUAUCCCUUUUGAAAUUUUUAUCAUCGUUUCUAGACAGGAAUAGAAAGGUUUCUACGAAGUUACAACAAAAUGUAGUGUCCACGAGCAGAGAUAUAGACAUUUAAAGAAGUAGUAUAUAGGCAUUGUCUUAGCGAAAAAAAAAAAAAAAUAAAAAAAAUAGAAGGGAUUGAGUAUCCCUUUUGAAAUUUUUAGCAUCGUUUCUAGACAGUAAUAGAAAGGUUUCUACGAAGUUACAACAAAAUGUAGUGUCCACGAGCAGAGAUAUAGACAUUUGAAGAAAUGGUACAUAGGCGUUGUCUUAGAGAAAAAAAAAUAUAAAAAAAAUAGAAGGGAUUGAGUAUCCCUUUUGAAAUUUUUAUCAUCGUUUCUAGACAGGAAUAGAAAGGUUUCUACGAAGUUACAACAAAAUGUAGUGUCCACGAGCAGAGAUAUAGACAUUUAAAGAAGUAGUAUAUAGGCAAUGUCUUAGCGAAAAAAAAAAAAAAAAAAAUAGAAGGGAUUGAGUAUCCCUUUUGAAAUUUUUAUCAUCGUUUCUAGACAGUAAUAGAAAGGUUUCUACGAAGUUACAACAAAAUGUAGUGUCCACGAGCAGAGAUAUAGACAUUUGAAGAAGUAGUUUAAAGGCAUUGUCUUAGAGAAAAAAAAAAAAAUAGUAGGGAUUGAGUAUCCCUUUUAAAAUUUUUAUCAUCGUUUCUAGACAGUAACAGAAAGGUUUCUGCGAAGUUACAACAAAAUGUAGUGUCCACGAGCAGAGAUAUAGACAUUUGAAGAAGUAGUAUAUAGGCAUUGUCUUAGAGAAAAAAAAAUAAAAAAAAAUAGAAGGGAUUGAGUAUCCCUUUUGAAAUUUUUAUCAUCGUUUUUAGACAGUAAUAUAAAGGUUUCUACGAAGUUACAACAAAAUGUAGUGUCCACGAGCAGAGAUAUAGACAUUUGAAGAAGUAGUGUAUAGGCAUUGUCUUAGAGAAAAAAAAAUAAAAAAAAAUAGAAGGGAUUGAGUAUCCCUUUUGAAAUUUUUAUCAUCGUUUCUAGAUAGUAAUAUAAAGGUUUCUACGAAGUUACAACAAAAUGUAGUGUCCACGAGCAGAGAUAUAGACAUUUGAAGAAGUAGUAUAUAGGCAUUGUCUUAGAAAAAAAAAAAUAAAAAAAAAAUAGAAGGGAUUGAGUAUCCCUUUUGAAAUUUUUAUCAUCGUUUCUAGAUAGUAAUAUAAAGGUUUCUACGAAGUUACAACAAAAUGUAGUGUCCACGAGCAGAGAUAUAGACAUUUGAAAAAGUAGUAUAUAGGCAUUGUCUUAGAGAAAAAAAAAUAUAGAAGGGAUUGAGUAUCCCUUUUGAAAUUUUUAUCAUCGUUUUUAGACAGUAAUAUAAAGGUUUCUACGAAGUUACAACAAAAUGUAGUGUCCACGAGCAGAGAUAUAGACAUUUGAAGAAGUAGUAUAUAGGCAUUGUCUUAGAAAAAAAAAAAUAAAAAAAAAAUAGAAGGGAUUGAGUAUCCCUUUUGAAAUUUUUAUCAUCGUUUCUAGAUAGUAAUAUAAAGGUUUCUACGAAGUUACAACAAAAUGUAGUGUCCACGAGCAGAGAUAUAGACAUUUGAAGAAGUAGUAUAUAGGCAUUGUCUUAGAAAAAAAAAAUAAAAAAAAAAUAGAAGGGAUUGAGUAUCCCUUUUGAAAUUUUUAUCAUCGUUUCUAGAUAGUAAUAUAAAGGUUUCUACGAAGUUACAACAAAAUGUAGUGUCCACGAGCAGAGAUAUAGACAUUUGAAAAAGUAGUAUAUAGGCAUUGUCUUAGAGAAAAAAAAAUAUAGAAGGGAUUGAGUAUCCCUUUUGAAAUUUUUAUCAUCGUUUUUAGACAGUAAUAUAAAGGUUUCUACGAAGUUACAACAAAAUGUAGUGUUCACGAGCAGAGAUAUAGACAUUUGAAAAAGUAGUAUAUAGGCAUUGUCUUAGAGAAAAAAAAUAAAAAAAAAAAAUAGAAGGGAUUGAGUAUCCCUUUUGAAAUUUUUAUCAUCGUUUCUACAUAGUAAUAUAAAGGUUUCUACGAAGUUACAACAAAAUGUAGUGUCCACGAGCAGAGAUAUGAUUACUUUCACAAAUACAAUAUAAUUGCCUCCUUAG